UACAGCAUGAUUUUUUUGUUCUCCCACCAGGCCGUGUGUUCGCCAACUCCCCAGAUACAGCAUGUGUGCUGGGCCUCAACAGGAAGGUCAUCUCAUUCAGCCCCGUCACUGAGCUGAAGGCUCUGACUGAUUUUGAGCACCGGAUGCCCCUGGUCCAGUGGUGGAUAAAUCUUCGGCCGUUGCUAAAAAUGUUGGCCAAGUACCAAACCAGCUUCUGUGAAUACGUCCCUGGAGAGAUCGAACAUGUGACUCGGCGCUCCAUUAGCAUUGACCACGGCUUCUAGGCUCUCUGAAGCUACAGGAGACUCGCUGCACUUUCUGACCCUUAGUUGUCCAUCGCUUGUUUCUAGGCAGAUUACAUACUUUUACAGGACUGAAGACAGUAUGUUGUUGGUAUCAUAGCAGCUAUGAAAAAGUACUUCAAGUAUUCAUUUCUCCAAAGAGGAGCAGGUUUUUCUAUUCCAAUCAAACCUCUGUUACCCAAUCACUGCAAUACAUAUCAGCUGUGCCAUUAAGCUGAAACUGCACUGAUUUAAUACUGAAUAUAUUAUAUAAAGCAGACGUGUGUGGUGUGGAAUAAUCUGAACAAGAUGUAUAUAUAAUCCAUGUUAUGCAGCUAGUUUUUGGAGCCCCUCUUAUCAUUUUCACAAAGAUUAAAGUGGUGCAGUGGGUGGUUUGAUGUCAGAAUGUGACUUUGACUCAUGGGACCAGUGAGACGUUCAUUUUAUUUAUACACUGCGUAGGAAACACUGCUUCUGUCAUCAAUUAAUGGGAACAAACAUAUUGAUACAGUGUAAUAAAUGUAACUACUGAAUUUAGAAUAGAGAACUCUGUAAAGAAAUAUGAAUGCAUGUUGUGUAUUAUUUUGAUAAUGCUUUACCUUCAAUUAAAUGUCAUUUAACAGUGA
Anarrhichthys ocellatus (wolf-eel) is the source of this 907-nucleotide long non-coding RNA. RefSeq lists it as uncharacterized. Lineage: Eukaryota; Metazoa; Chordata; Actinopteri; Perciformes; Anarhichadidae. The record is from RefSeq and is a predicted model, not a curated record. The transcript has 2 exons.